UACUUAUCAAGAGAGGUGGAGGGACUGGCCCUAUGAAACCCAGCAACCAGCAUUUUGCAUGGUGCUAAAUCCUGCGGUAUUUUUAUACCGAAAGAUGAGAA
Molecule: non-coding RNA, 101 nt
Filed under: Hathewaya proteolytica
Lineage: Bacteria; Bacillati; Bacillota; Clostridia; Eubacteriales; Clostridiaceae
Also listed under: 1 other name
Description: Clostridium proteolyticum SAM-I sequence
Rfam family: SAM riboswitch aptamer (S box leader)
About the family: The SAM riboswitch is found upstream of a number of genes which code for proteins involved in methionine or cysteine biosynthesis in Gram-positive bacteria. The SAM riboswitch acts at the level of transcription termination control. The predicted structure consists of a complex stem-loop region followed by a single stem loop terminator region.
Source: RNAcentral